Molecule: ribosomal RNA, 538 nt
Filed under: uncultured Arthrobacter sp.
Lineage: Bacteria; Bacillati; Actinomycetota; Actinomycetes; Micrococcales; Micrococcaceae
Description: bacterial SSU rRNA
Rfam family: Bacterial small subunit ribosomal RNA
Source: RNAcentral
UGGCGAACGGGUGAGUAACACGUGAGCAACCUGCCCUUGACUCUGGGAUAAGCCUGGGAAACCGGGUCUAAUACUGGAUACGACCUUCCCGCGCAUGCGGUGUUGGUGGAAAGCUUUUGUGGUUUUGGGUGGACUCGCGGCCUAUCAGCUUGUUGGUGGGGUAAUGGCCUACCAAGGCGACGACGGGUAGCCGGCCUGAGAGGGUGACCGGCCACACUGGGACUGAGACACGGCCCAGACUCCUACGGGAGGCAGCAGUGGGGAAUAUUGCACAAUGGGCGCAAGCCUGAUGCAGCGACGCCGCGUGAGGGAUGAAGGCCUUCGGGUUGUAAACCUCUUUCAGUAGGGAAGAAGCUGGUCCUUUUUGGGGUUGGUGACGGUACCUGCAGAAGAAGCGCCGGCUAACUACGUGCCAGCAGCCGCGGUAAUACGUAGGGCGCAAGCGUUAUCCGGAAUUAUUGGGCGUAAAGAGCUCGUAGGCGGUUUGUCGCGUCUGCCGUGAAAGUCCGGGGCUUAACCCCGGAUCUGCGGUGGGUAC